UACGAAGGGGGCUAGCGUUGCUCGGAAUCACUGGGCGUAAAGGGUGCGUAGGCGGGUCUAUAAGACAGAUGUGAAAUCCCCGGGCUUAACCUGGGAAUGGCGUCUGAAACUACGGAGCUGGAGUGUGGCAGAGGGAGGUAGAAUUCCACGUGUAGCGGUGAAAUGCGUAGAUAUGUGGAGGAAUACCGAUGGCGAAGGCAGCCUCCUGGGCCAACACUGACGCUCAUGCACGAAAGCGUGGGGAGCAAACAGG
Molecule: ribosomal RNA, 253 nt
Filed under: uncultured bacterium
Lineage: Bacteria
Description: partial 16S ribosomal RNA
Rfam family: Bacterial small subunit ribosomal RNA
Source: RNAcentral